This is a long non-coding RNA of Suricata suricatta (meerkat), 188 nucleotides long. RefSeq lists it as uncharacterized. The record is from RefSeq and is a predicted model, not a curated record. NCBI's taxonomy places the organism in Eukaryota, Metazoa, Chordata, Mammalia, Carnivora, Herpestidae. The transcript is spliced from 3 exons.
AACCGAGAUGAGUCACUUUGAGAAUUUGGUGAUGUGUACCUUUAAAACAUGGCUUAAUCAGUGACCAAAACAGCAAAGAGACCCGUUGUCUUUCCUUCUGCGGGUCCCCAGACAAUGAGACGCCAGGGCCCUGACAUACAGAAGCAGGAGUGCUGUCAGGAGCUUGGCCCCUUCACAACUGAUAAAUC